This 272-nucleotide ribosomal RNA is filed under the name uncultured Staphylococcus sp. RNAcentral's name for it is "partial 16S ribosomal RNA". It matches the Rfam family "Bacterial small subunit ribosomal RNA", at positions 90 to 355 of the family's 1533-position model. The record is from RNAcentral. Lineage: Bacteria; Bacillati; Bacillota; Bacilli; Caryophanales; Staphylococcaceae.
CGUUAGCGGCGGACGGGUGAGUAACACGUGGGUAACCUACCUAUAAGACUGGGACAACUUCGGGAAACCGGAGCUAAUACCGGAUAAGAUAUCGAACCGCAUGGUUCGAUAGUGAAAGAUGGUUUUGCUAUCACUUAUAGAUGGACCCGCGCCGUAUUAGCUAGUUGGUGAGGUAACGGCUCACCAAGGCAACGAUACGUAGCCGACCUGAGAGGGUGAUCGGCCACACUGGAACUGAGACACGGUCCAGACUCCUACGGGAGGCAGCAGUU